RNAcentral lists this ribosomal RNA (460 nucleotides) under uncultured bacterium. RNAcentral's name for it is "partial 16S ribosomal RNA". It matches the Rfam family "Bacterial small subunit ribosomal RNA", at positions 338 to 795 of the family's 1533-position model. The record is from RNAcentral.
CCUACGGGGGGCAGCAGUGAGGAAUAUUGGUCAAUGGACGAGAGUCUGAACCAGCCAAGUAGCGUGAAGGAUGACUGCCCUAUGGGUUGUAAACUUCUUUUAUAUGGGAAUAAAACGUUCCACGUGUGGGAUUUUGUAUGUACCAUAUGAAUAAGGACCGGCUAACUCCGUGCCAGCAGCCGCGGUAAUACGGAGGAUCCGAGCGUUAUCCGGAUUUAUUGGGUUUAAAGGGAGCGUAGGUGGAUUGUUAAGUCAGUUGUGAAAGUUUGCGGCUCAACCGUAAAAUUGCAGUUGAAACUGGCAGUCUUGAGUACAGUAGAGGUGGGCGGAAUUCGUGGUGUAGCGGUGAAAUGCUUAGAUAUCACGAAGAACUCCGAUUGCGAAGGCAGUUCACUGGACUGCAACUGACACUGAGGCUCGAAAGUGUGGGUAUCAAACAGGAUUAGAUACCCGAGUAGUC